Molecule: ribosomal RNA, 263 nt
Filed under: uncultured prokaryote
Description: partial 16S ribosomal RNA
Rfam family: Bacterial small subunit ribosomal RNA
Source: RNAcentral
CGUAGGGGGCAAGCGUUAUCCGGAUUUACUGGGUGUAAAGGGAGCGCAGACGGAACUGCAAGUCUGAUGUGAAAGCCCGGGGCUCAACCGCGGGACUGCAUCGGAUACUGUAGAUCUGGAGUGCCGGAGGGGCAAGCGGAAUUCCUGGUGUAGCGGUGAAAUGCGUAGAUAUCAGGAGGAAUACCGGCGGCGAAGGCGGCUUGCUGGACGGCAACUGACGUUGAGGCUCGAAAGCGUGGGGAGCAAACAGGAUUAGAUACCCU